GGAAGUAAAAGUCGUAACAAGGUUUCCGUAGGUGAACCUGCGGAAGGAUCAUUAAUAAAUUUUCUUAGGUUGAAAUUUGAAACCUAAAAAUAUAAUAAUCCUACCCUUUGUGAAUUUGUUGUUUGAAAAUAAUUUUUUAAAAAAAUUAUUUAUAGUUUUGUCUAUCCCUGAGUUGUAAGAGAAGUAAUUCUUGAAGACUUAGGAAUAGGCUUUAUCUAUAAAUAAUGAUUUUAAAGACCUUUUUAAAUUAAGCUUUUGUAUUCAUUUUCUAAAAUUUAUUUUAAUAAUUUAAAACAACUUUUGACAAUGGAUCUCUUGGUUCUCGCAACGAUGAAGAACGCAGCAAAAUGCGAUAAGUAAUGUGAAUUGCAGAAUGCGUGAAUCAUCAAAUCUUCGAACGCAUAUUGCACUUUUUUAGUUUACUAAAAAGUAUGUCUGUUUGAGUAUCAGUAAAUAUUCUCAUAAAAAUUAUUUUUUUUAUGUUUUGAGUGUUUACAACGGUACAAGUUGUUUCACUUUAAAUGACUUUAAAUUGCCUAUUAAUUUAGUCAAUUUUAAAAUUGCAUAAAUUUCCCGUAAAAAGGAAUAACUAUCAAUUUAAAAUUAACUGAUAUUAAAAGGCCUUGAUAAAGGAAAUUUAAUUAAAUAACUGAUCUCAAAUCAGAUAAGAGUACCCGCUGAACUUAAGCAUAUCAAUAAGCGGAGAAAAGAAACUAACAAGGAUUCCCCUAGUAACGGCGAGUGAAGCGGAAGAGCUCAAAUUUGAAAUCAUCAAGGCUUGACCUUGACGAAUUGUAGUUUAAGAAGUGUUUCGGUUAGAGAUGGUUAAAAGUUCUUUGAAUAGACAUCAUAGAGGUGAGAAUCCCGUAUUUGACCAUCCUUUCUAGCUUUGUGAUACACUUCAAAGAGUCGAUUGUUUGGGAAUGCAGUCCAAAAUGGUGGUAAAUUUCAUCUAAAGCUAAAUAUUGCGAGAGACCGAUAGCGACAAGUACCGUGAGGAAAGAUGAAAAGAACUUUGAAAAGAGAGUUAAACAGUACGUAAAUUGUCAAAGGGAAGCGUUUGACACCAGUGUUGUUUUCCGAAAAUCAAUAAAAUAAAUCAUGCCAGGUUGUAUUGACCUUAUCAGCUUGCAAUUUGGUUUGGUUUCUUUUUGACGCACUUUUCGGUUAACAGUCAACAUCAAUUUCCUUUGCUGUAAAAGGGCAGGAGGAAGGUGC
RNAcentral lists this unclassified non-coding RNA (1218 nucleotides) under uncultured Neocallimastigales. RNAcentral's name for it is "partial contains small subunit ribosomal RNA, internal transcribed spacer 1, 5.8S ribosomal RNA, internal transcribed spacer 2, and large subunit ribosomal RNA". The stretch from base 651 to 1218 matches the Rfam family "Eukaryotic large subunit ribosomal RNA", at positions 1 to 540 of the family's 3401-position model. Lineage: Eukaryota; Fungi; Neocallimastigomycota; Neocallimastigomycetes; Neocallimastigales. The record is from RNAcentral.